GCCGGGAUAGCCAAGCGGAGGCGACAGGCUCGAGAGUUUUUCUAUCAAGAAACCUGUUGGUCGUCUGUCAAAAUAUCUUGUGGUAUUUUGGAUGAAACCUCAUGAGUUCAAAUCUCAUUCCCGGCGCCA
This 129-nucleotide transfer RNA is filed under the name Promethearchaeota archaeon. RNAcentral's name for it is "Candidatus Lokiarchaeota archaeon (microbial mat metagenome) tRNA-Ser". It matches the Rfam family "tRNA". Rfam says of the family: Transfer RNA (tRNA) molecules are approximately 80 nucleotides in length. Their secondary structure includes four short double-helical elements and three loops (D, anti-codon, and T loops). The record is from RNAcentral. Lineage: Archaea; Promethearchaeati; Promethearchaeota.